GCCGAUGUAGCUCAGAAGCAGAGCAGCGCUUUUGUAAAGCGAAGGUCGGGAUUGCGAAAUUCCCCAUCGGCU
RNAcentral lists this transfer RNA (72 nucleotides) under Candidatus Curtissbacteria bacterium. RNAcentral describes it as "tRNA-Thr". It matches the Rfam family "tRNA". From Rfam's summary of the family: Transfer RNA (tRNA) molecules are approximately 80 nucleotides in length. The record is from RNAcentral. Lineage: Bacteria; Candidatus Curtissiibacteriota.